This 424-nucleotide ribosomal RNA is filed under the name Verrucomicrobiota bacterium. Its description in RNAcentral is "Verrucomicrobia bacterium partial 16S ribosomal RNA". It matches the Rfam family "Bacterial small subunit ribosomal RNA", at positions 355 to 776 of the family's 1533-position model. Lineage: Bacteria; Pseudomonadati; Verrucomicrobiota. The record is from RNAcentral.
UGAGGAAUAUUGGUCAAUGGGCGAGAGCCUGAACCAGCCAAGUAGCGUGCAGGACGACGGCCCUAUGGGUUGUAAACUGCUUUUAUGUGGGGAUAAAGUGCGUGACGUGUCAUGCAUUGCAGGUACCACAUGAAUAAGGACCGGCUAAUUCCGUGCCAGCAGCCGCGGUAAUACGGAAGGUCCGGGCGUUAUCCGGAUUUAUUGGGUUUAAAGGGAGCGUAGGCUGUCUAUUAAGCGUGUUGUGAAAUUUACCGGCUCAACCGGUGGCUUGCAGCGCGAACUGGUCGACUUGAGUAUGCAGGAAGUAGGCGGAAUUCAUGGUGUAGCGGUGAAAUGCUUAGAUAUCAUGACGAACUCCGAUUGCGCAGGCAGCUUACUGUAGCAUAACUGACGCUGAGGCUCGAAAGUGCGGGUAUCAAACAGG